Long non-coding RNA from Marmota monax (woodchuck), 3173 nucleotides. RefSeq lists it as uncharacterized. The record is from RefSeq and is a predicted model, not a curated record. Lineage: Eukaryota; Metazoa; Chordata; Mammalia; Rodentia; Sciuridae. The transcript is spliced from 2 exons.
UGGGCUCCGUAGGGUGAGGUGGCCGCGCCCCAGGACCAGACCCCAGGGUCAGGGCCAGGGCGUGCCAGGGUCCGCAGGGCGUCCCAUGCACCGUUUCCCCUGUUCAUCCUGAAAUCAGUGCAGGUGAAGGCAGCUGGCGCGGGCUGGCGGGGCGCCAGGGCCAGCACUAACAAGCAGUCCUCGGGCUUCCAGAAUGCAGAACGAGGAGGCAUUUUUUUUCUUAAGGAGGGAUAAAAAGGCUCAAAAAUGUAAAUCAUUACCGUUUACAACCAAGCGAGUCUGCUAAAUUGAUUAGGAGAGAUUAAACUCCUUGGAGGUGAAGGGAAAGGGGGAUUUUUUGUGGUUUAUGGACCUGUCCCAAGGGGCAGUCCACACAGCAGGGAUUUUUCUGGGCCUGGCUGAAGGGGCAGGGGCUCGUCUGCUCCUUUUGGGCAACUUGGAGAGCUGGGGGUCUCUGAGGGCUGACACAGUGUCCUUCAGAAGCUGUCCGUGCCCCCAGCCUGAGACUCUGGCCCUGCCCUCCAGACUCUGUGUGUCUUCAGGGCAACGAGCCAUGCCGUGGAGUAGCGGCUGGUGCUAUCGCUUCGUAGGACUGCUGUUCUGGGACCUGCUCCCUGGGCACAGGGAAAGGGUAGCCCAACCACUAGGGAAAACCGAAGGCAGGGAAAAGAGACUCUGGCCCAACAAAGGAAUCAGGCAGUGAGCUUCCCGUCACUAGGAGCAUUCAAGCUCUAGAUGGGGACAGGCAGACACUCUCCUGUGAGAGCCCGGUUGGGCUGACAACAAGACCCUGGUUCCAGCCUUGACCUAUCAGGAGAAGCACAGACACAGGCCACUGCUUCCCCAGCAGGAAGUGAGGAUGAGGGCUGACAGGGGCCACCUGCCGGCCCUCUGGCUCCAGAUUAGGCUGCCCCGGGGCCUGUUCUCUCAAGCCUGAGCCUCCCCACAGCCACCACCGCACUCGGGAGGUUGCUGGCUGAUCCAUCCAUCACGGCCAGUUGACGGCGCCUGGGGCACUGUUCACUCUGUGUUUUUAAGCCUUUACGAUUCUUUUGAAAUGUUCCAAGUAGUUGCCUGAAAUAUCUACAUUGGCUUCUUUUUAAAAAAAAACUGACAAAAAGAUCCCUUUCGCUCUCCACCCCCUUCCUGCCCGGCCCCCUUCUGCUCUGUGCUCCCCGCCAGCCUGGGCAUUUUUAAUAUGUGGUUUUUCUCUAGUUUGGGAAAUUCUGUUAUUCCUGGGGUCGGACCCACUCUUUCACCAUAAGGGAGGUUGCCAGGUGUGCCCAAGACCCCCGCCACCAUGGGGGAGGAUCCCCACCUCUUCUCUCCUGCCCCAGAGACGUCACGGCCAGGGCAGUUCUCGGCCCUGGGGCGGCUCCAGCUUCUGGAAGCUGAAGUGAAGUUUCAUCCCUGAAGUGCCCCGCUUCAGAGUGGGCACGCUGAGGGCAGUGUGCAGAUGAAUGGGCUGGCCAGCCCCACUUCCUCCAAGGCCAGACCCCGAGGCACUGUAGCCACUGGAGCAGGCCCCGUUGGCCCUGCGCCCAGGCCCCUGACCUCCCACACCCCCACCCAGGGGGUCCUUGCAGGAAGGUCUUUGCUCCCCGGGCCUCAAUCUCUACAGUUCCCACUCGGAUGGCCAAUGGGUGAGAGACCAGGUCCCCUUGCUCCCCGGCAGGGCCUGGGUGCAAGCCCCUUGCCCUCAGGAGCUCACGGAGGCCACACAGUGCCUGGCACACGGGAGCGCCGGAAAUCCUUUCUUCUCCUGCAGGCUCCUCUCAUGUCCUCCUCCCGCCUGCCCCCUUGGCUCCGCACCUGAGGCCUGAGUGUCGGCCACCAACAGGCUCCUCUUGUCCUACACCUGCUGCUCUGGUGGCCUGGCAUGGAGAGGGGCUCAUCCGGGCACUUCUCCUCUUGGAAGCGGCUCACCCCACUCUGCCGCGGAUCUUGCGCAUCUCCAGGCUGAGCCUGAGCCCGAGGGGGAGCCGUGGAUUCGUGAGAUCCAGCAAGGCUUCGGCCCCGUGGGUGACUCAGGUUCUCUUCUCCAAGUCUUGCCCUGCCUGGAGGCAGUACAGCAGCAGAGGGCCCGCCGCCCUGGCCAAGAACCCGCACCCUGCAGCCCUCCUGGAGGAACCCGUCAGGCCCUCUCAAGACAGACCCAGACAGGACAUGACCGACAAUCAAAGCCACGGUGGACCUGGGGUGCCCGGCUCAUCUCCCCAGAGCCAGGGGUUCUGAGUAGCUCCCACCUGCCCGGAUGGAAGACGUGCUGGCAUGUUCCAGACCACCCCUCACGACUAGUCCCUUCCUCCAAAAGUUCUGGGCCUCAAGGGGGAAGUCACACACACACACACACACACACACACACACAACCCUGAAAGUAGCCUUAGAUAUUCCCCCACAACCCAGCACAGCCGCCUGCCAGCAGCCUCGGCGGAGAAGCCCACAGGGCAUCCCGGGCAGGUUCAAGGGCAUAGAUAGGGACCCUGCUGUCUUCCAGCUCCUAAAAGAGGCUAAGAACUGUGGGGAGGCCUGGGCACUGGAUCUUCGUCAUCUGAGAGAGAGAGAGAAGUAGGGAGAGAUGAUGUUGAAGGCCGGGAGGUAGCAGGCUGUGGUCACAGGCUCGCGGGAGACCGUGGCUUAUGUGAUUCUGCUUGUUGGAGCCACCAGGCAGGUGUGAGCAGGGAGGCCAAGGGACCCCAACCCCCACGCAGCUGCAGAGUGAGUGUUUACCAGCCACCCUCAGCACCUCCUCGCCUGAUGUACUUGCUGGGUACGAGAAGCCUCCUGAGUGUGCCAGGGGCAAAGCGCUCUCGGGGGGUCUGAGCGAUGGCACCACCCCCGCUGCUGCCUGCUGCCGUCCGACCCGGCUGGCUGACAAGGCCUGGCUCCUCAAGGCCCAGCCGUGCCUGGCCUGGUGCCCGCCUGCCUCACUCCCAACCUCACCACCAGACAGGGGUUUCCAGAAAACCGCCACCCACCCGCCACCGCGACAACACAACCAAAGUGCACUGCGAACAGCCCUUGGGCCUCCUUCCUGUAGGUGCCUUGAACUUCAAUGUUGAGAUGAAUGUGAUUUAACUACUUGGUCCUAUUUUCUGUUUGUCUGUUUUCAUAUGAGAUGCCCAGGUCCACCUCCUUGUCCUUUCUUGAAAUAAAUAGAAAGAUUUAACUUU